RNAcentral lists this ribosomal RNA (1233 nucleotides) under metagenome. Its description in RNAcentral is "bacterial SSU rRNA". It matches the Rfam family "Bacterial small subunit ribosomal RNA", at positions 90 to 1298 of the family's 1533-position model. The record is from RNAcentral.
GUAAAGUGGCGCACGGGUGAGUAACGCGUGGGUAAUCUGCCUUCGAAUCGGGGAUAACAUUGCGAAAGCGAUGCUAAUACCGGAUAACAUCAUGAGUACCUGGUAUUCAUGAUCAAAAGUGGCCUCUACAUGUAAGCUACUGUUUGAAGAUGAGCCCGCGUACCAUUAGCUUGUUGGUAGGGUAAUGGCCUACCAAGGCUACGAUGGUUAGCUGGUCUGAGAGGAUGAUCAGCCACACUGGAACUGACACACGGUCCAGACUCCUACGGGAGGCAGCAGUGAGGAAUCUUGCGCAAUGGGGGAAACCCUGACGCAGCAACGCCGCGUGAGUGAUGAAGGCCUUCGGGUCGUAAAACUCUGUCAAGUGGGAAGAAACUAUUUCGUGCUAAUAUCACGUAAUAUUGACGGUACCACUGAAGGAAGCACCGGCUAACUCCGUGCCAGCAGCCGCGGUAAUACGGGGGGUGCAAGCGUUAUUCGGAAUCAUUGGGCGUAAAGGGCGCGUAGGCGGCCCAGUAAGUCAGAUGUGAAAGCCCGGGGCUCAACCCCGGAAGUGCAUUUGAAACUAUUGGACUUGAGUAUGGGAGAGGGAAGUGGAAUUCCUGGUGUAGAGGUGAAAUUCGUAGAUAUCAGGAGGAACACCGGUGGCGAAGGCGACUUCCUGGACCAAUACUGACGCUAAAGCGCGAAGGCGUGGGUAGCAAACAGGAUUAGAUACCCUGGUAGUCCACGCAGUAAACGUUGAUCACUAGGUGUAGCGGGUAUUGACCCCUGCUGCGCCGCAGUUAACGCAUUAAGUGAUCCGCCUGGGGAGUACGACCGCAAGGUUAAAACUCAAGGGAAUUGACGGGGGCCCGCACAAGCGGUGGAGCAUGUGGUUUAAUUCGACGCAACGCGAAGAACCUUACCUGGAUUUGACAUCCCGAGAAGUCUUUCGAAAGUCAGACGUGCCCUUCGGGGAACUCGGUGACAGGUGCUGCGUGGCUGUCGUCAGCUCGUGUCGUGAGAUGUUGGGUUAAGUCCCGCAACGAGCGCAACCCCUAUCUCUAGUUGCCAGCGAUUCGGUCGGGAACUCUAGAGACACUGCCUCGGUUAACGGGGAGGAAGGUGGGGAUGACGUCAAGUCCUCAUGGCCUUUAUGUCCAGGGCUACACACGUGCUACAAUGGGCUGUACAAAGGGUUGCGAGCCUGCGAAGGUCAGCUAAUCCCAUAAAGCAGUUCUUAGUUCGGAU